UCACACCCGUUCCCAUACCGAACACGGAAGUUAAGCUCUUCAGCGCCGAUGGUAGUUGGGGGCUGUCCCCCUGCAAGAGUAGGACGUUGCCAAGC
Molecule: ribosomal RNA, 95 nt
Filed under: Oikeobacillus pervagus
Lineage: Bacteria; Bacillati; Bacillota; Bacilli; Caryophanales; Bacillaceae
Source: RNAcentral